UACGGAGGGGGCAAGCGUUGUUCGGAUUUACUGGGCGUAAAGGGCGCGUAGGCGGCGUGACAAGUCACUUGUGAAAUCUCCGGGCUUAACUCGGAAUGGUCAAGUGAUACUGUUGUGCUAGAGUGCAGAAGGGGCAAUCGGAAUUCUUGGUGUAGCGGUGAAAUGCGUAGAUAUCUGGAGGAACACCGGUGGCGAAGGCGGCAUCCUGGACCGGCAUUGACGCUGAGGAGCGAAAGCCAGGGGAGCAAACGGG
RNAcentral lists this ribosomal RNA (253 nucleotides) under uncultured bacterium. RNAcentral describes it as "partial 16S ribosomal RNA". It matches the Rfam family "Bacterial small subunit ribosomal RNA", at positions 524 to 776 of the family's 1533-position model. The record is from RNAcentral.